This 497-nucleotide ribosomal RNA is filed under the name uncultured bacterium. Its description in RNAcentral is "partial 16S ribosomal RNA". It matches the Rfam family "Bacterial small subunit ribosomal RNA", at positions 28 to 507 of the family's 1533-position model. The record is from RNAcentral.
GAUGAACGCUGGCGGCGUGCCUAAUACAUGCAAGUCGAGCGAACGGACGAGAAGCUUGCUUCUCUGAUGUUAGCGGCGGACGGGUGAGUAACACGUGGAUAACCUACCUAUAAGACUGGGAUAACUUCGGGAAACCGGAGCUAAUACCGGAUGAUAUUUUGAACCGCAUGGUUCAAAAGUGAAAGACGGUCUUGCUGUCACUUAUAGAUGGAUCCGCGCUGCAUUAGCUAGUUGGUAAGGUAACGGCUUACCAAGGCAACGAUGCAUAGCCGACCUGAGAGGGGGAUCGGCCACACGGGAACUGAGACACGGUCCAGAUUCCUACGGGAGGCAGCAGUAGGGAAUCUUCCGCAAUGGGCGAAAGCCUGACGGGGCAACGCCGCGUGAGUGAUGAAGGUCUUCGGAUCGUAAAACUCUGUUAUUAGGGAAGAACAUAUGUGUAAGUAACUGUGCACAUCUUGACGGUACCUAAUCAGAAAGCCACGGCUAACUACGUG